GACGAACGCUGGCGGCGUGCCUAAUACAUGCAAGUCGAGCGCGGGAAGCUUGCGGAAUCCUUCGGGAGGAAGUGAGUGGACCGAGCGGCGGACGGGUGAGUAACACGUGGGCAACCUGCCCGUAAGACGGGGAUAACCCCGGGAAACCGGGGCUAAUACCGGAUAGGUGACCUUUCUGCAUGGAGGGGUCAUGAAAGGCGGCGGAAGCCGUCGCUUACGGAGGGGCCCGCGGCGCAUUAGCUAGUUGGUGAGGGAAGGGCUCACCAAGGCGACGAUGCGUAGCCGGCCUGAGAGGGUGAACGGCCACACUGGGACUGAGACACGGCCCAGACUCCUACGGGAGGCAGCAGUAGGGAAUCUUCCGCAAUGGACGGAAGUCUGACGGAGCAACGCCGCGUGAGUGAGGAAGGCCUUCGGGUCGUAAAGCUCUGUUGUUCGUGAAGAAGGGGUUGGCCAGGAAAUGGGCCGACAUUGACGGUAGCGAACCAGAAAGCCCCGGCUAACUACGUGCCAGCAGCCGCGGUAACACGUAGGGGGCAAGCGUUGUCCGGAAUGAUUGGGCGUAAAGGGCGCGCAGGCGGCCUCUUAAGUCUGAUGUGAAAGCCCACGGCUCAACCGUGGAGGGACAUUGGAAACUGGGGGGCUUGAGUGCAGGAGAGGGGAGUGGAAUUCCACGUGUAGCGGUGAAAUGCGUAGAGAUGUGGAGGAACACCAGUGGCGAAGGCGGCUCUCUGGCCUGUGACUGACGCUGAGGCGCGAAAGCGUGGGGAGCGAACAGGAUUAGAUACCCUGGUAGUCCACGCCGUAAACGAUG
Molecule: ribosomal RNA, 814 nt
Filed under: uncultured organism
Description: SSU rRNA
Rfam family: Bacterial small subunit ribosomal RNA
Source: RNAcentral